GGAAUGUCGUCGGAGGUUUGAUAAAGCUUCAGCAGGGUAUGAUCAGGCACGUGAGAAGUUUAUGUCGCUGAAGAAGGGUGCACGUGUAGACAUAGUUGCUGAAUUAGAAGAGAAUCUUCACAAUAACAAGUCAGCUUUUGAAAGAUGCCGGUUUAAUCUAGUUAAUGCACUUUCAAAUAUUGAAGCAAAGAAAAAGUUUGAAUUCCUUGAAUCAAUAAGUGCAGUUAUGGAUGCCCAUAUGAGAUACUUUAAGCAGGGAUAUGAAUUAUUGAGCCAAAUGGAACCCUUUAUUCACCAGGUUUUGACAUAUACUCAACAUUCAAAAGAAAUUGUUAAUGUCGAGCAAGAUAAGCUUGAAAAGAGAAUCCAACAGUUCAGAACUCAAAGUGAACUUGCAAGCCUUAGGCCCUCUAGCAAUAUGGAAGCCACUACAAGUGGUGAUGGCAUUCAUGUAUCUGGUUCCAAUUCAUACAAAAACAUAGAAGACCUAAUGCAAUCUACUGCCAAUGGAAAGGUUCAGAUAAUUAAACAAGGUUAUCUUCUUAAACGGUCUUCAAGCUUGAGGGCAGAUUGGAAAAGGCGGUUUUUUGUACUUGAUAGCCAUGGAACUUUGUACUACUAUAUAGAUAAAUGGAAUAAACAGCAGGGUGAUGAUAACCUUUUUCACACUGUUGAUCUUCGAACCUCGACCAUUAAAAUAGAUGCAGAGCAAAUAGAUUUGAGGUUUUGCUUCAGAAUAAUUUCUCCUGUGAAAUCAUUCAUAUUACAGGCUGAAAAUGAAGUAGAUAGAAUGGAAUGGGUUGAGAAAAUCAAAGGUGUCAUUGCAUCACUCCUAAAUUCUACUUUAUCAAAGCAGGGUGUGGACAUGGAUGGUUCUCGCCUUACUGAUGUGAGUGGUGCUGACACCCAAAUGCUGGAAGGAAGUUUGAGUACAAAAGUAAAUGAUAAUGUCUCCAAAAUUCUCAGGAAUAUUCCAGGAAAUGAUGUUUGUGCUGAAUGUGGUGCUCUUGAGCCUGAGUGGGCAUCUCUAAAUCUGGGAAUUCUAGUGUGCAUAGAAUGCUCUGGAGUUCACAGAAAACUUGGAGUACAUAUUUCAAAGGUGAGGUCCCUGACUCUAGAUGUUAAGGUAUGGGAGCCAGCUGUUAUGGACCUAUUUUGUGCCCUUGGCAAUGCUUAUUGUAAUUCCGUGUGGGAAGAAUUGCUCCUUUUUCAAGAUCAAAGAAUUGAUGAACAUGAUGCAGACCUAUUGCCAAUCAAGAAGCCUACUCCUAAAGAUGUCAUUUCAAGAAAAGAAAAAUAUAUUCGUUCAAAGUAUGAGGACAAAUCUUUGAUAGUCAGGGAAACAAUCGAGUCUGAUCUUCCUCCAAUUACAGUUCGUGUCUGGGAAGCAGUGAAAACUAAUAAUGUUCAAGUAGUGUACCGCCUUCUUGUGGCCUCAGAUGCCAGUCCUAACACUAAAUAUGAUCAAGUGAACAGUGAGCUUGAUGACAUGGUGGAUACAUCGAGUCACAUAUGUAAUGAUUUGAUGGAGAGGCAACAAUUUGAUCCUACAUGCCAGAAAAUCAAGGAUUCUGGUGGCUCAGAUAAUUGUUUGCAAGGUUGCUCAUUAUUGCAUCUAGCAUGCCAUGUUGGUGAUCCUGUCAUGUUAGAGCUCCUGUUACAGUAUGGUGCUGAUAUUAAUUAUCAAGAUUUCCAUGGGAGGACACCUCUCCAUCACUGUGUUUCUGCAAGAAAUAAUUCUCUUGCUAAAUACUUAAUUAGGAGGAGUGCAAGCACAUCAGUUAAAGAUGGUGGUGGCUUCACAGCUCUAGAAAGAGCAAUGGAGCGUGGAGCAAUUCCUGACGAAGAAUUAUUUAUAUUGCUUGCUGAUCACUUGUGAUGCCAACGGCUGUUCUUGCAAAUUAUCAUUGAUGUGAAGAAGUUGUACACAUAUGCUAAAGAUCCCAAAGUAACAAAUUGGCUGUCGCCAGAGUCCUACAUGGAAGGUAAGUAAAUGAUUUAUGCAAUUUGAAGGAAUCACAUUGAGGUAUAUGCUAUUUGGUCGCCAGCAUCUUGAAGCCAGUGAGGUAUAUCAUGUUCUGAGAAUUUUUUUCGCCAUUAUUUUGUGACGAUUUUGACGAACGGCUUGAAUAUGAAUCUAUCUCCACUAUUUAUUUAUUUAUUUAUUAGAAGGGAACAAACACUAUAAUCUAUUUUAUUGAUCAAGAAACAUAAUGCAA
This is an RNA transcript of Zingiber officinale, 2219 nucleotides long. It is a transcript of the gene named ADP-ribosylation factor GTPase-activating protein AGD4-like, with no coding region annotated. Lineage: Eukaryota; Viridiplantae; Streptophyta; Magnoliopsida; Zingiberales; Zingiberaceae. The transcript has 16 exons. The record is from RefSeq and is a predicted model, not a curated record.